UUGCCUAAAAAAUUAAAAAAUUUAAAAAAUUGCUGGAAAAAUUUUCUUUGGUAACCUCUAAACCUUUCUUAUUUAAAUUAAUUCCCUUUUGUGGUGAUUGUUUGAUUUUAAAUUCAGCAAAAAGUGUGAAUGCAUGCUUGAUACACAUACACCAAUUAAUCCGCACAUAGUAAGGGCAAUCACCCCAACAAGAUAAGAAC
This 200-nucleotide long non-coding RNA is filed under the name Phoenix dactylifera (date palm). Its description in RNAcentral is "long non-coding RNA (PDAC_LNC007329)". The record is from RNAcentral. Lineage: Eukaryota; Viridiplantae; Streptophyta; Magnoliopsida; Arecales; Arecaceae.